Molecule: ribosomal RNA, 476 nt
Filed under: uncultured Russulaceae
Lineage: Eukaryota; Fungi; Basidiomycota; Agaricomycetes; Russulales; Russulaceae
Description: eukaryotic LSU rRNA
Rfam family: 5.8S ribosomal RNA (bases 5-158)
Source: RNAcentral
AUACAACUUUCAACAACGGAUCUCUUGGCUCUCGCAUCGAUGAAGAACGCAGCGAANUGCGAUACGUAAUGUGAAUUGCAGAAUUCAGUGAAUCAUCGAAUCUUUGAACGCACCUUGCGCCCCUUGGNAUUCCGAGGNGCACACCCGUUUGAGUGUCGUGAAAUCCUCAAAAACCCUUUUCUCUUCGGGAAAGGGGAUUUUUGGACUUGAGAGGUUCAAUGCUCGCUUUCAGUUUUGAAAGUGAGCUCCUCUCAAAUGAAUUAGNGNGGNCUGCUUUGCUGAUCCUUGACGUGAUAAGAUUUUUCUACGUUUUGGAUUUGGCACUGUCCCUUGNACGCCUGCUUCUAAUCGUCUCAUGGACAAUGAUGGUGCCCUGGUCACCGCCAUGUACAUUGGCGGGGGAGGCUGGAACCAUGAAAUAAAACCUUGACCUCNAAUCGGGUGAGACUACCCGCUGAACUUAAGCAUAUCAAUAA